This 739-nucleotide ribosomal RNA is filed under the name Providencia rettgeri. RNAcentral describes it as "partial 23S ribosomal RNA". It matches the Rfam family "Bacterial large subunit ribosomal RNA", at positions 898 to 1525 of the family's 2925-position model. Lineage: Bacteria; Pseudomonadati; Pseudomonadota; Gammaproteobacteria; Enterobacterales; Morganellaceae. The record is from RNAcentral.
GGGGGUAGAGCACUGUUUCGACUAGGGGGUCAUCCCGACUUACCAACUCGAUGCAAACUACGAAUACCGAAGAAUGUUAUCACGGGAGACACACGGCGGGUGCUAACGUUCGUCGUGAAGAGGGAAACAACCCAGACCGCCAGCUAAGGUCCCAAAGUCAUAGUUAAGUGGGAAACGAAGUGGGAAGGCUCAGACAGCCAGGAUGUUGGCUUAGAAGCAGCCAUCAUUUAAAGAAAGCGUAAUAGCUCACUGGUCGAGUCGGCCUGCGCGGAAGAUGUAACGGGGCUAAACUAUGCACCGAAGCUGCGGCAGCGAACGUAUCACUUAAACUGAUUAAGUGAUACUCAAAUGUAUCAAAACGAUUGACGGAGCGAAGCGACGUCAAUGCGUCCAACAAAGUCGAGGCGGAAACGUCAGGCAGUCAGUUUAAGGAUACGUUCGUUGGGUAGGGGAGCGUUCUGUAAGCCUGUGAAGGUGUGCUGUGAGGCAUGCUGGAGGUAUCAGAAGUGCGAAUGCUGACAUAAGUAACGAUAAUGCGGGUGAAAAACCCGCACGCCGGAAGACCAAGGGUUCCUGUCCAACGUUAAUCGGGGCAGGGUGAGUCGACCCCUAAGGCGAGGCAGAAAUGCGUAGUCGAUGGGAAACGGGUUAAUAUUCCCGUACUGGUGAUAAUUGCGAUGGGGGGACGGAGAAGGCUAGGCUAUCCGGGCGACGGUUGUCCCGGUUUAAGGAUGUAGGC